Molecule: small nucleolar RNA, 132 nt
Organism: Ornithorhynchus anatinus (platypus)
Lineage: Eukaryota; Metazoa; Chordata; Mammalia; Monotremata; Ornithorhynchidae
Source: RefSeq, a predicted model, not a curated record
CUUCUCUCUGGGUCGCAUCUGGAGAGUUUUGAUUACUCUACCAGUCUCGACUACAGGAGGGCGAGUCAAGCAGAGGCAUUCCAUUCUUAGCUUGGCCAGUGGCUAGCGAGUGGAAGGCAAUCUGCUUCAAGA